RNAcentral lists this ribosomal RNA (253 nucleotides) under uncultured bacterium. Its description in RNAcentral is "partial 16S ribosomal RNA". It matches the Rfam family "Bacterial small subunit ribosomal RNA", at positions 524 to 776 of the family's 1533-position model. The record is from RNAcentral.
GACAGAGGAUGCAAGCGUUAUCCGGAAUGAUUGGGCGUAAAGCGUCUGUAGGUGGCUUUUUAAGUCCGCCGUCAAAUCCCAGGGCUCAACCCUGGACAGGCGGUGGAAACUACCAAGCUGGAGUACGGUAGGGGCAGAGGGAAUUUCCGGUGGAGCGGUGAAAUGCGUAGAUAUCGAGAGGAACACCAGUGGCGAAGGCGAGUCCCUGGACAACUCCUGACACUGAGGCACGAAAGCUAGGGGAGCAAACAGG